GUAGGGAAUCUUCCACAAUGGACGAAAGUCUGAUGGAGCAACGCCGCGUGAGUGAAGAAGGUCUUCGGAUCGUAAAACUCUGUUGUUAGAGAAGAACGUGCGUGAUAGUAACUGAUCAUGUAAUGACGGUAUCUAACCAGAAAGCCACGGCUAACUACGUGCCAGCAGCCGCGGUAAUACGUAGGUGGCAAGCGUUGUCCGGAUUUAUUGGGCGUAAAGGGAACGCAGGCGGUUUUUUAAGUCUGAUGUGAAAGCCUUCGGCUUAACCGAAGAAUAGCAUUGGAAACUGGAAGACUUGAGUGCAGAAGAGGAGAGUGGAAUUCCAUGUGUAGCGGUGAAAUGCGUAGAUAUUAGGAGGAACACCAGUGGCGAAGGCGGCUUUCUGGACUGUAACUGACACUGAGGCACGAAAGCGUGGGGAGCAAACAGGAUUAGAAACCCUGGUAGUCC
RNAcentral lists this ribosomal RNA (450 nucleotides) under uncultured bacterium. Its description in RNAcentral is "partial 16S ribosomal RNA". It matches the Rfam family "Bacterial small subunit ribosomal RNA", at positions 354 to 796 of the family's 1533-position model. The record is from RNAcentral.